AGACAAUAGAUACCCUGGUAGUCCACGCCCUAAACGAUGUCUACUAGUUGUUGGUGGAGUAAAAUCCAUGAGUAAACGCAGCUAACGCGUGAAGUAGACCGCCUGGGGAGUACGGUCGCAAGAUUAAAACUCAAAGGAAUUGACGGGGGCCCGCACAAGCGGUGGAUUAUGUGGAUUAAUUCGAUGCAACGCGAAAAACCUUACCUGGCCUUGACAUGCCACUAACGAAGCAGAGAUGCAUUAGGUGCCCGUAAGGGAAAGUGGACACAGGUGCUGCAUGGCUGUCGUCAGCUCGUGUCGUGAGGUGUUGGGUUAAGUCCCGCAACGAGCGCAACCCUUGCCAUUAAUUGCCAUCAUUUAGUUGGGCACUUUAAUGGGACUGCCGGUGACAAACCGGAGGAAGGUGGGGAUGACGUCAAGUCCUCAUGGCCCUUAUGGCCAGGGCUUCACACGUAAUACAAUGGUCGGUACAGAGAGUUGCCAACCCGCGAGGGGUAGCUAAUCUCAGAAAGCCGAUCGUAGUCCGGAUUGUUCUCUGC
RNAcentral lists this ribosomal RNA (539 nucleotides) under uncultured bacterium. Its description in RNAcentral is "bacterial SSU rRNA". It matches the Rfam family "Bacterial small subunit ribosomal RNA", at positions 774 to 1308 of the family's 1533-position model. The record is from RNAcentral.